This 433-nucleotide ribosomal RNA is filed under the name uncultured bacterium. RNAcentral describes it as "partial 16S ribosomal RNA". It matches the Rfam family "Bacterial small subunit ribosomal RNA", at positions 29 to 507 of the family's 1533-position model. The record is from RNAcentral.
AACGAACGCUGGCGGCAUGCCUAACACAUGCCAGUCGAACGAGACCUUCGGGUCUAGUGGCGCACGGGUGCGUAACGCGUGGGAACCUGCCCUUAGGUUCGGAAUAACUCCCCGAAAGGGGUGCUAAUACCGGAUAAUGUCUUCGGACCAAAGAUUUAUCGCCUUUGGAUGGGCCCGCGUUGGAUUAGCUAGUUGGUAGGGUAAAAGCCUACCAAGGCGACGAUCCAUAGCUGGUCUGAGAGGAUGAUCAGCCACACUGGGACUGAGACACGGCCCAGACUCCUACGGGAGGCAGCAGUGGGGAAUAUUGGACAAUGGGUGAAAGCCUGAUCCAGCAAUGCCGCGUGAGUGAUGAAGGCCUUAGGGUUGUAAAGCUCUUUUACCCGGGAUGAUAAUGACAGUACCGGGAGAAUAAGCGCCGGCUAACUCCGUG